GGACAACCGCUGGAAACGGCGGCUAAUACCGGGUACUCCGGGAGGGCCCCAUGGCCCUGCCGGGAAAGCCGAGACGGCGCGGGAUGGGGUCGCGGCCCAUUAGGUAGACGGCGGGGUAACGGCCCACCGUGCCCGCGAUGGGUAGCCGGACUGAGAGGUCGACCGGCCACAUUGGGACUGAGAUACGGCCCAGACUCCUACGGGAGGCAGCAGUGGGGAAUUUUGCGCAAUGGGGGAAACCCUGACGCAGCAACGCCGCGUGCGGGACGAAGGCCCUCGGGUUGUAAACCGCUUUCAGCAGGGAAGAUCCAAGACGGUACCUGCAGAAGAAGCUCCGGCUAACUACGUGCCAGCAGCCGCGGUAAUACGUAGGGGGCGAGCGUUAUCCGGAUUCAUUGGGCGUAAAGCGCGCGUAGGCGGCCGCCUAAGCGGGACCUCUAACCCCGGGGCUCAACCCCGGGCCGGGUCCCGGACUGGGCGGCUCGAGUGCGGUAGAGGAGAGCGGAAUUCCCGGUGUAGCGGUGGAAUGCGCAGAUAUCGGGAAGAACACCGAUGGCGAAGGCAGCUCUCUGGGCCGUCACUGACGCUGAGGCGCGAAAGCUGGGGGAGCGAACAGGAUUAGAUACCCUGGUAGUCCCAGCCGUAAACGAUGGGCGCUAGGUG
Molecule: ribosomal RNA, 663 nt
Filed under: uncultured bacterium
Lineage: Bacteria
Description: bacterial SSU rRNA
Rfam family: Bacterial small subunit ribosomal RNA
Source: RNAcentral